AGAAGGAACAACGCCAGGGGCCGCGGGCAGCUCUGCAGCCCUGGAGUCAGCUCCCACAGUAACUACGGCAGCUCUCCGUCUGCGGGGCCUGGAGGCUCCGGGCGGGG
RNAcentral lists this microRNA precursor (107 nucleotides) under Canis lupus familiaris (dog). Its description in RNAcentral is "mir-8834 microRNA precursor family". It matches the Rfam family "mir-8834 microRNA precursor family". Lineage: Eukaryota; Metazoa; Chordata; Mammalia; Carnivora; Canidae. RNAcentral also lists the same sequence under 1 other name. The record is from Rfam by way of RNAcentral.